UUCGGGAUGCCGGCGAGUGGCGAACGGGUGCGUAACACGUGGAGACCUAUCUUGGGGUGGGGGACAACAACUGGAAACGGUUGCUAAUACCGCAUACGCCUUACGAGGGAAAGAUUUAUUGCCCUGAGCGGGUUCCGCGUCGGAUUAGCUUGUUGGUGGGGUAACGGCCUACCAAGGCGACGAUCCGUAGCUGGUCUUAGAGGAUGAUCUGCCACACUGGGACUGAGACACGGCCCAGACUCCUACGGGAGGCAGCAGUGGGGAAUAUUGCGCAAUGGGGGGCAACCCUGACGCAGCGAUGCCGCGUGAGUGAAGAAGGCCUUCGGGUUGUAAAGCUCUUUCAGUGGGGAAGAUGAUGACGGUACCCACAGAAGAAGCCCCGGCUAACUCCGUGCCAGCAGCCGCGGUAAUACGGAGGGGGCAAGCGUUGUUCGGAAUUAUUGGGCGUAAAGGGCGCGUAGGCGGUUUGCCAAG
RNAcentral lists this ribosomal RNA (474 nucleotides) under uncultured Magnetococcus sp. RNAcentral describes it as "bacterial SSU rRNA". It matches the Rfam family "Bacterial small subunit ribosomal RNA", at positions 79 to 587 of the family's 1533-position model. The record is from RNAcentral. Lineage: Bacteria; Pseudomonadati; Pseudomonadota; Magnetococcia; Magnetococcales; Magnetococcaceae.